UACGGAGGGGGCUAGCGUUGUUCGGAAUUACUGGGCGUAAAGCGCACGUAGGCGGCUUUGCAAGUUAGAGGUGAAAGCCCGGGGCUCAACUCCGGAAUUGCCUUUAAAACUGCAUCGCUAGAGUUGUGGAGAGGUAAGUGGAAUUCCGAGUGUAGAGGUGAAAUUCGUAGAUAUUCGGAAGAACACCAGUGGCGAAGGCGACUUACUGGACACAUACUGACGCUGAGGUGCGAAAGCGUGGGGAGCAGACAGG
Molecule: ribosomal RNA, 253 nt
Filed under: uncultured bacterium
Lineage: Bacteria
Description: partial 16S ribosomal RNA
Rfam family: Bacterial small subunit ribosomal RNA
Source: RNAcentral